Molecule: ribosomal RNA, 195 nt
Filed under: uncultured bacterium
Lineage: Bacteria
Description: partial 16S ribosomal RNA
Rfam family: Bacterial small subunit ribosomal RNA
Source: RNAcentral
CCUACGGGAGGCAGCAGUGGGGAAUAUUGGACAAUGGGCGAAAGCCUGAUCCAGCCAUGCCGCGUGUGUGAAGAAGGCCUUUUGGUUGUAAAGCACUUUAAGCGAGGAGGAGGCUACUUAGAUUAAUACUCUAGGAUAGUGGACGUUACUCGCAGAAUAAGCAUCGGCUAACUCUGUGCCAGCAGCCGCGGUAAU